This 75-nucleotide transfer RNA is filed under the name Candidatus Magasanikbacteria bacterium CG10_big_fil_rev_8_21_14_0_10_40_10. RNAcentral's name for it is "tRNA-Arg". It matches the Rfam family "tRNA". Rfam says of the family: Transfer RNA (tRNA) molecules are approximately 80 nucleotides in length. Their secondary structure includes four short double-helical elements and three loops (D, anti-codon, and T loops). Lineage: Bacteria; Candidatus Magasanikiibacteriota. The record is from RNAcentral.
GACCCCGUAGUUCAAUGGAUAGAACGAGUGCCUUCUAAGCAUUAAAUUUAGGUUCGAUUCCUAACGGGGUCACAA